UAUACCCCCUCCCUAUCAUUAAUCAACCCCUCUAAAGAGUGGGAAUAGACAGUGUGGGCCCUCUGAGGCAUAAGACUCACAGAGGGAAGAAAUACAUCCUGACUCUAGUGGAUUUCACAACUCGGUACCCAGAGGCGAUUGCCUUGACCUCCACUGAGGCACUUGUAGUUGUUAAAGCCCUGACCAAAAUCUUCUUGCAGCUUAGUUUUCCCUCUGAAAUCCUAACUAACAGGGGUUGAAACUUUCUGGUGGAGGUGAUGAAGUGAAUGUGGGAGUGCUGUGGGGUGAAACACCUCAAAACCACAGCUUACCACCUUAGACAAAUGGGCCCGUAAAAAGGUUCAAUGGGACCUUGAAAGGUAUGCUAAAGGCCUAUGUGGACUCUAACUUCAAUGACUGGAAUGAAAAACUUCUGCAUUUGCUCUUUGCCUACCAGAAGGUGCCCCAGGAGUCCACUGGGUUCUCGCCAUUUGAGUUAAUGUUCGGAAGGCAAGUUAGGGGUCCUCUUGAUUUGGCAAGAAAAAAAUGGGAAGGGAAAAUCUCUUCCACUAAGAUCUACUUUACCAGAUUUGCCCAUUACUUUGGGGUGUGCUCAUUUAAGGGAUAUGUUUCUAGAGUCUUGGUAAUUCUGUCAAUGUGCUGCUUGUGUUACUUGUGUUUCUAUACAGAGCUGUAUAUCUCCCUUCUGCAAGUCCUCACCCCCCAAUGGAGCUAUCUUGCAGGAUUCAGUUUCAAUGGGGCUGGGUUCCUCCAGUCACCAAAUCUGUCAUACGCACAAACACACACAGAUUAACGUGACAUGCCUGACCUGGCCGGGUUGAUCAGCAUGGACAGGCUGACAUCUUCAUAUGCCAAGAAUCAGUUCAUCAGAGCAACAAUACACUGCAGUCAGACACAAGCACACAGUAAAAAAAUCACCUGAGGAUCCAAAGGAGCCAUACCAUGUAUGGUAACUGGGAUAAAGAGGCAGAAAUAGAGGAACUCCACCUGCUGGACCAUCUGCCGUCCCAGGACAAGGACAAGCUGCUCGUAGCACUCAAGAACUUUGAGACAGUGUUCUCCAACAAACCAGGUACUUUUGCCCAAGGGAGGUCUCUGCAAGAACUAGCUCUACCUCAAGAGUUCAGCCUCCAGAGUUGCAAUGCUCUGUAGGGCUUGAGGAUGCUUUCUUCACAGCUUGUCCUGCCUCCGUGAGCCCACAGGACCAAAGACAGAACCUGCACCUACCACAUAGCUGAGACCAUACUAAGCUCAAACACGUGGACAGCUCUACAACAAGAAGAACUACUGUUUGGAGCAUAUACCCCCUGGCCAGCCUGGUUGGGGUUGACUAAACACAAAGGCUCAAACCUUGCCUUUUCUUGUCAAGUCUGCAAGGUUUGAAACCAGACAGGCAAGGGAAUAUCACUGGAGGCAAAACACAGUGGGAGCUUUAAACUCUACUGCACUUAGCACAAGAGGAAGAAGAAGAAAAUAGUUGGGCUGGGUGUAAGAGACACCAGCUUAAUCUCAUGAAGAGCUGAUGUCUGGCUUGUGAUUCAGAGAAGGAGCUGCAGCUUUUUUUCUCAGAAAGGAAAGACUUUUAUUGGAAAUAAGUGGUUUUUAUUUUUUGGUUUAUUGAAGCAGUGGGAAGGAAAGUGAGGAGGUAGAGCCUCAGUGUGAAAGCUCUUGAUCAGAACUUGUACUGCACACAUGAGCCAAUGUGCUGAAUGCAGUGUCAAUGCGCUGGUCUUUCAGACACUACUGUGCCUGUGUGCUCUGUCCCCUAACUAUACAUCCUGUCUGAGGAGGGAGGUCCCUUCAGAAGAAGUAGAUAUGCAAAGCUGCCUGUCUUAUGUGCAACUGGAUCUGAUCAUCUUUGUGUGUUUGCAGGGAUACAGCUUUGCAUGAUACACAGUUAUCCAGAGCAGUGGCUCUCAACCUUUUUUGUGUCAGGACCCAUUUGCUGACAUUGAUUCCUUGUCCUGAUCCACACACCCCUGGCCCUGCCGGUGCCUGGCCCACAGUCCUCUGCUCCCACCUGAGUCUUGCUGGUGCCCCUCACCCCCAAGCUACAGCCACCUAUCCCCCCCAGGGCAUGCUGGUGCCCCUCACUCCUGAUCUGCAGUCCUCUGCCCCACCCUAGGCUUGCCAGAGGGGGCCCCCAGCUGCCUCUGUUCUGCUUGGGCCAGAGCAUGAGCAGCAAGUGCAGGUCCCUGUGUGUAUGGGCUCUGGCCCCAUGCCACUAGCCCAGGCAUACAGGUCCCCACUGUGAAGGACUGCCCCUACCACCUGACCCCGUUGAAGGGCCAGGUGCCUUCUCCUCCCACUCCCCCAUACCUGCUGCGGUCCUGCACCCUGCCACUGUCCCCAGCACUGGCAGGCAGGUAACUGCGCACACACGUGCACCCUCCCAGCCCUCCAGAGAGUCUUCUGGACGUCCAUUCCCUGCUUCCCAUACUUACCUGGGUCCAAGGGCUGGGUCUGCUCCUACAACCAGGCUUUGCUGUAUUCUGGCCAUGUGCAUCUGUGUGCGCAGAUGCAUAUGCGCCUGCUGCCUCCAAUCAUCCCAGGCAGCCACGUGCAGGCUGGAAUGCUGCCAGCUUGCAAGGGGAAAUGGGUUUUUCUGGGGACCUGUUCGUGACCUUAUCAAAUAUUCUUGCAAUCCGCUUUUGGGUUAUGACCCACUGGUUGGGAAACGCUGAUCCAGGGCACAUUCAACUUUGUUUCUGAACUGUUUCAUGAUGUCUCUGCCAGGACUCUGGAGUCAUAAUUUCCAGUGUGACUUUGAUGGACAUCCACCAGCUGUUUUCCCUGCUAAGUAUAGAGUUUUUAAGUAUUUAUCCAUCUGACAUGUUUUUGAUUCUCUGCAUAUUUCCUGGGAAAGUAAAAGCAAUGGGGAUUUCCAGUAAUGACUUGGGGA
Alligator mississippiensis (American alligator) is the source of this 2902-nucleotide long non-coding RNA. RefSeq lists it as uncharacterized. Lineage: Eukaryota; Metazoa; Chordata; Crocodylia; Alligatoridae. The record is from RefSeq and is a predicted model, not a curated record. The transcript is spliced from 3 exons.